GUCCCGUUGGCCGAGCAGCUCAGGCGGCGGUCUGCAACACCGCAGAGACUGGUGCGACUCCAGUACGGGUCUCCA
RNAcentral lists this transfer RNA (75 nucleotides) under Verrucomicrobiota bacterium. Its description in RNAcentral is "Verrucomicrobia bacterium tRNA-Cys". It matches the Rfam family "tRNA". From Rfam's summary of the family: Transfer RNA (tRNA) molecules are approximately 80 nucleotides in length. Lineage: Bacteria; Pseudomonadati; Verrucomicrobiota. The record is from RNAcentral.